AUUGAACGCUGGCGGCAGGCCUAACACAUGCAAGUCGAACGGUAACAGGAAGAGGCUUGCUUCUUUGCUGACGAGUGGCGGACGGGUGUGUAAUGUCUGUGACACUGCCUGAUGGCGGGGGAUAACUACUGGAAACGGUAGCUAAUACGGCAUAACGUCUCAAGACCAAAGAGGGGGACCUUCGGGCCUCUUGCCAUUGGCUGAGCCCAGAUGGGAUUAGCUAGUAGGUGGGGUAACGGCUCACCUAGGCGACGAUCCCUAGCUGGUCUGAGAGGAUGACCAGCCACACUGGAACUGAGACACGGUCCAGACUCCUACGGGAGGCAGCAGUGGGGAAUAUUGCACAAUGGGCGCAAGCCUGAUGCAGCCAUGCCGCGUGUAUGAAGAAGGUCUUCGGGUUGUAAAGUACUUUCAGCGGGGAGGAAGGGAGUAAAGUUAAUACCUUUGCUCAUUGACGUUACCCGCAGAAGAAGCACCGGCUAACUCCGUG
This 490-nucleotide ribosomal RNA is filed under the name uncultured bacterium. Its description in RNAcentral is "partial 16S ribosomal RNA". It matches the Rfam family "Bacterial small subunit ribosomal RNA", at positions 30 to 507 of the family's 1533-position model. The record is from RNAcentral.